CUGCACCGCACGCACUCAGAGUCGCGCUCCCGAGUCAGUCAGGGCUCCGUUAUUAAACACUCAACGGUGGACGCGACUGCAGCAGCGGCAGAAGUGCUGCGACGCUUUAAAACAUGGUGACUGUGGAUCGGUUCAAUCCUGGGAUUCACUCAGUUCUGGAGGAUUGUGAAGCUGAAAAACUGCCCAAAACUGAUGAUUUGAUGUCAGAGACGCUGAACGUGUGUCAGUCCUUCAAAACAGGCCCACAGAAAGUGCCCAUAAGUGAUAGGAAACUCGGUAACGUCAUAUGACCAUCUGUAUCCUCCCUCUAGUCAUCAAGUUUGCAAUGAAUCCCUUCUAUGAAGCCAACGCAGCGAUUUCCUCCACAGCUCUCGAGAGGAAAGUACAGUUUCUUGGGAAGAAGCAUCUGCUCAGGUGAUUCAUCUUAUACAUGUACUCUUCUGUUUUUGCAGUCUUGAUGUCAUGCAUAAAUAUACAGGUGUGUUGUUUGUACUGUCAGAUACAUAUUUCAAUUUCAGUUGUUCAUACUCAUCAGAUUCUGACCCGCUACUGUACGACAGAUGUCUGUGAAUAAUGAUUAUUCUUAAAGACUUGUUUAAAGCAUCACACAGGAAUGCUUUCUGCAGAAAUUACACAUCAAACCAUUAAAAUGCAUAAUUUCUAA
Long non-coding RNA from Carassius gibelio (silver crucian carp), 664 nucleotides. RefSeq lists it as uncharacterized. NCBI's taxonomy places the organism in Eukaryota, Metazoa, Chordata, Actinopteri, Cypriniformes, Cyprinidae. The transcript is spliced from 3 exons. The record is from RefSeq and is a predicted model, not a curated record.